GGCGGACGGGUGAGUAACGCAUAGGAAUCUGCCCGGUCGUGGGGGAUAACCUGGGGAAACUCAGGCUAAUACCGCAUACGUCCUACGGGAGAAAGGCCGCGAUCGGAUGAGCCUAUGUCGGAUUAGCCGGCUGGUGAGGUAACGGCUCACCAAGGCGGCGAUCCGUAGCUGGUUUGAGAGGAUGAUCAGCCACACCGGGACUGAGACACGGCCCGGACUCCUACGGGAGGCAGCAGUGGGGAAUAUUGGACAAUGGGCGCAAGCCAGAUCCAGCCAUGCCGCGUGUGUGAAGAAGGCUUUCGGGUUGUAAAGCACUUUCAGUGAGGAAGAAGACAUCACUAACAGAAGAAGCACCGGCUAACUCCGUGCCAGCAGCCGCGGUAAUACGGAGGGUGCAAGCGUUAAUCGGAAUGACUGGGCGUAAAGCGCGCGUAGGCGGCACGAUCAGCCGGUUGUGAAAGCCCCGGGCUCAACCCGGGAACCGCAUCCGGAACUGUCGCGCUGGAGUGCAGGAGAGGAAGGUAGAAUUCCCGGUGUAGCGGUGAAAUGCGUAGAGAUCGGGAGGAAUACCAGUGGCGAAGGCGGCCUUCUGGACUGACACUGACGCUGAGGCGCGAAAGCAUGGGUAGCAAACAGGAUUAGAUACCCUGGUAGUCCAUGCGGUAAACGAUGUCGACCAGCCGUUGGGGCCCUUGUGGCGAAGUUAACGCGAUAAGUCGACCGCCUGGGGAGUACGGCCGCAAGGUUAAAACUCAAAUGAAUUGACGGGGGCCCGCACAAG
Molecule: ribosomal RNA, 781 nt
Filed under: uncultured bacterium
Lineage: Bacteria
Description: bacterial SSU rRNA
Rfam family: Bacterial small subunit ribosomal RNA
Source: RNAcentral